AAUGUUCUUCGAGUUCCAUCUGUGACCCGUAAUCUUCUUUCAGUUCCUAAACUCACACGUGAUAAUAAUGUGCUUUGUGAAUUUCACCCUUUUGAUCUUUUUAUUAAGGAUCGGGGCACGAGGGACAUUCUUCUUAGUGGGCGGUUGUGCCAGGGCCUCUACCGUCUGGAGCAUCCUGGCGUCGCCCGUGUUUUCAGUGGAGUUCGGGUCUCUCCGUCACAGUGGCAUGCUCGUCUUGGUCCCCCGGCCACACCUAUUGUCCGUCAUAUUUUGCGUCGUCAUGAGCUUCCUAGUUUGUCUAGUAAUAAAGAUGUAGCAGUGUGUGAUGCUUGUCAGCAGGGG
Molecule: ribosomal RNA, 342 nt
Filed under: Triticum aestivum (bread wheat)
Lineage: Eukaryota; Viridiplantae; Streptophyta; Magnoliopsida; Poales; Poaceae
Description: partial small subunit ribosomal RNA
Source: RNAcentral